RNAcentral lists this ribosomal RNA (375 nucleotides) under uncultured organism. RNAcentral describes it as "partial 16S ribosomal RNA". It matches the Rfam family "Bacterial small subunit ribosomal RNA", at positions 526 to 896 of the family's 1533-position model. The record is from RNAcentral.
GUAGGGGUCCAAGCGUUAAUCGGGAAUUACUGGGGCGUAAAGCGUGCGCAGGCGGUUGUGGCAAGACCGAUGUGAAAUCCCCGGGGCUUAACCUGGGAAUUGCAUUGGUGACUGCACGGCUAGAGUGUGUCAGAGGGGGGUAGAAUUCCACGUGUAGCAGUGAAAUGCGUAGAGAUGUGGAGGAAUACCGAUGGCGAAGGCAGCCCCCUGGGAUAACACUGACGCUCAUGCACGAAAGCGUGGGGAGCAAACAGGAUUAGAUACCCUGGUAGUCCACGCCCUAAACGAUGUCAACUAGUUGUUGGGGAUUCAUUUCCUUAGUAACGUAGCUAACGCGUGAAGUUGACCGCCUGGGGAGUACGGUCGCAAAGAUUA